UAGAGAUUAUUAUUAUUAUUUCACAAAGGUGACUUGACAAAUUUUAUGGAAACCCCAUUAUGAUUCCCAGCCAAGGAGCGAUCCUGCAUGAGGCAAACCGUGCGUUCUGAUUGGUCGAAUAAGCUCGCCCACGGAUCGUACCCCCAACCGUUUGAUUUUCCAAGAUCCAACGGAUGGCACACAAUCCCUAAUUCUCUAUCCCUCUCUUCUUUCUUUCCUGGCACCCACAGCCGCCGGCUUCUCUUCGACCCAGCUCCUCCUCCCCGUGCCUUCCUUCCUCCCGUUGUGUUCUCCAAUCAUCGACUUCCCUAUCCAGCCGAGGCGCUCGGAGGUAGUACCGGGGCAAGCACCACCGGUGCGAUGUCCAGGCCGACCCACACCGUUCGGCUGUUCCGUGCAUGACUAGAUCUGACGAUCUAGCUGCCGGAUCCACCGCGGCAGCAACGCCGGCUUCUACCUCCUCUCUGACCCCGACCACCACACCACCUCAACUCCAGCGCGCGACCCUCUACUUUAUCCAUCCUUUCCGUCCAUGGCCAGAACCAGCAAUCUUGCUGCUGGAUCGGUGGUGGCGGUUCCUCAUGGUGGCGUCGGCGGCCGUCCGCAAUGUCCCCUGCCGUCUCGCUUCAGCCUCCUCCUGACAACGCGCCCGGGGCUGGGUCCAGGGCCGGCCCUUGGCCAUGGCGUGCAGCCGCCUAGGGCCCAGGCAAAACAGGGGCCCAUACUGUAUGUAUAUACGUAUGAGUAGAAGAAAAAGUAAACUGAUGAAAUAGUAGCGGUAGGCUCAACCUAUUAUGGUGUGAGGAACCAGUCACGUACGAAAGUGAGAACAGCUCAACAACCAGCCUAAUUGUUAGGUCUCUAUUUAAAAAAGGACCUUUUGUUCUUCCAUCUUAAAAGUAUCCUAAGGAGACUGAUGAAGUGGCACAUUCAGCGAUUGGGCGGUGAGGCGUUGACAGCAGCCCACGUCCACAGGUUAGUUGUUUCUCGUCUGGAUUGCCCAUCUUUCCUUGUUGAUUGCGAAUUUUGUGAAAGAUUACUUUGCAUGAAAUUGUUGCACAAGUGGGUGCCUCAUAUUAGUGGUGAUUAAGUAUCAUCAAAUAAGCACAUGAUGAUUAGAUACUGCUUUGUUAUUAUGUUGUUGGAUUUCUCUGUAGCUACUUGCAUAGAAGGCGUCUGUGCUUUUGUCCAAAACUGCUAUCUGUAGGUACAUCGUAAAAUAUGGUGAGGAUUGUUAUUUUUGACAUUAUCAUAUUAUCAUGAAAAACAAGUCAUAUCUACACUUUGUUGAACUUGUGCUGGCAGCGUGCAGCGGUGCUUGUGAAGACCCGCGUGUCCGUCAGGCCCACUAAACCUAACUUGCACUAGGGCCUUCGAAAUGUUAGGGCCGGCCCUGGCUGGGUCUAGGCGGCCGUCGGCCGCCCCACGGUCAGCGCACUCAUCGUCGGCAUCGACCUCACACUUGUCUUCCCCAUCCAUGGCGCACAUCUCCUCAAGGAGGACAACACCGACACUGCAUGUGGUGACCGCAGGCACGACGACAGAUGUCCACUUCUACUUCGUCUCUGGCUCCGGAUUAUUUCCUGCCUUUUACCAGAGCGAGAAUGGCAUCAUCCACUUCUACCUCCUCCAUCUCAAGGACAAAUCUCAUGCAACCCAUGGUGCUGCAUUUGAAGCGAUCAUUUGUAAUUUGGCAGUGACUAUUAUGUGUAUAAUGUAUGAGUUGGACUAUUUUUCGUUGUAAUGAUGGCAAUGUGGCUUUAGUGAUGUACCUCUAAUGAUUGUUGUAAUUGAAUGAAACAAUUUAAUCAAAAUUCAUGGGCU
Triticum aestivum (bread wheat) is the source of this 1824-nucleotide long non-coding RNA. RefSeq lists it as uncharacterized. The record is from RefSeq and is a predicted model, not a curated record. Lineage: Eukaryota; Viridiplantae; Streptophyta; Magnoliopsida; Poales; Poaceae. The transcript is spliced from 3 exons.